UACGGAGGAUGCGAGCGUUAUCCGGAUUUAUUGGGUUUAAAGGGUGCGCAGGCGGGCUUUUAAGUCAGUGGUGAAAUCUUGGGGCUUAACCCCGAAACUGCCAUUGAAACUGGGAGUCUUGAGUAUGGAUGAAGUAGGCGGAAUUCGUUGUGUAGCGGUGAAAUGCUUAGAUAUAACGAGGAACCCCGAUUGCGUAGGCAGCUUACUAAGCCAUAACUGACGCUCAAGCACGAAAGCGUGGGUAUCAAAC
RNAcentral lists this ribosomal RNA (250 nucleotides) under uncultured bacterium. RNAcentral's name for it is "partial 16S ribosomal RNA". It matches the Rfam family "Bacterial small subunit ribosomal RNA", at positions 524 to 773 of the family's 1533-position model. The record is from RNAcentral.